UACGUAGGGAGCAAGCGUUGUCCGGAAUCAUUGGGCGUAAAGCGCGCGUAGGCGGCCCCGUAAGUCCGCUGUGAAAGUCAAAGGCUCAACCUUUGAAAGCCGGUGGAUACUGUGGGGCUAGAGUCCGGAAGAGGCGAGUGGAAUUCCCAGUGUAGCGGUGAAAUGCGUAGAUAUUGGGAGGAACACCAGUGGCGAAGGCGGCUCACUGGACCGGUACUGACGCUGAUGCGCGAAAGCGUGGGGAGCAAACGGG
RNAcentral lists this ribosomal RNA (253 nucleotides) under uncultured bacterium. RNAcentral describes it as "partial 16S ribosomal RNA". It matches the Rfam family "Bacterial small subunit ribosomal RNA", at positions 524 to 776 of the family's 1533-position model. The record is from RNAcentral.